Molecule: ribosomal RNA, 583 nt
Filed under: ascomycete sp. 452/LP2
Lineage: Eukaryota; Fungi; Ascomycota
Description: SSU rRNA
Rfam family: Eukaryotic small subunit ribosomal RNA
Source: RNAcentral
GGAGCCUGAGAAACGGCUACCACAUSCAAGGAAGGCAGCAGGCGCGCAAAUUACCCAAUCCCGACACGGGGAGGUAGUGACAAUAAAUACUGAUACAGGGCUCUUUUGGGUCUUGUAAUUGGAAUGAGUACAAUUUAAAUCCCUUAACGAGGAACAAUUGGAGGGCAAGUCUGGUGCCAGCAGCCGCGGUAAUUCCAGCUCCAAUAGCGUAUAUUAAAGUUGUUGCAGUUAAAAAGCUCGUAGUUGAACCUUGGGCCUGGUUGGCCGGUCCGCCUCACCGCGUGCACUGGUCCGACCGGGUCUUUCCUUCUGGGGAGCCGCAUGCCCUUCACUGGGUGUGUCGGGGAACCAGGACUUUUACUUUGAAAAAAUUAGAGUGUUCAAAGCAGGCCUAUGCUCGAAUACAUUAGCAUGGAAUAAUAGAAUAGGACGUGUGGUUCUAUUUUGUUGGUUUCUAGGACCGCCGUAAUGAUUAAUAGGGAUAGUCGGGGGCAUCAGUAUUCCAUUGUCAGAAGUGAAAUUCUUGGAUUUAUGGAAGACUAACUACUGCGAAAGCAUUUGCCAAGGAUGUUUUCAUUAAUCA